GCUUGGGGGACAACUAACCAGCCUGGGUAAGCCCCGAAUAUUUUGGGAGAGCUGGGGCUGAAAGAAUGGUGGGGGAAAGUCACUAAAGCAUUCAGUGAGGAAUAAAAACGUGGAGGGGGAUAAUAAUAGCUGACAUGUAUUGAGCCCUCACUAUUUCCAGGCACUGUGCCAAGACUUCAUGUAUAUCCAUGCAUUUCAUCCUCACGACUCCAUGAGGCACUGGCUUUCAUUCACUCUAAGUCACAGCUUUUUUUCCCUUGAAUUUUAACAUUCUUGAAAUCAGGAUGCUUCCUAUAGUCAAUGACCUGGCAUGGUUUAUUUGGCAACAUUUUAAAUUCUUAACGGUACACAAUAAUGGUGCAUUUCUAAUCGAUGGUGCAUUUCUAAUCUUAGAUGUGUUGAACCACAGUGGGAAUUGUUAUCAUCUCCAUUUGUGAGAUUAGUAAAUGCGGUCACACUUAGUAGAUAAAGACACUGAGGUUAAAUAACUUGCCCAGAUCACAGAACAAGCGGCAGAGCCAGGAGGUGAACGUGGAGGAAAGAGCUUGCGAUGUGAUAAAGGAGAGAGUCAAACGCAGGGGAGUUCGGAAGAAAGGGAGGUAGGUUGCUUUUGGCUCGAACAGUGGCUCUUCACUCUGGCUAUGCAAGAGAAUCACUGGGGAAACUUAAAACUGUCCCCAGUACCCAGGUAUGCCCGGACCAGCGUAGGUCAGUACUGGGGCGGAGGUCCUCCCCGUGGAGGGUCUGGGAAAGACUUAUGGAGGAAGGUGUAUUUGUGUUCAGUCCAGAAGGGUGUGUGUUUUGGGGAGGGAGUGGAGUUUGGAGAGGGAGGAAGCUGAGGCCUGGGUCUGAGAAAAGCAUGUCCACUGGGAGGGUGCUGGGCACCGGGCCGGGUGUGUGAGGGGCUCAGCCUGGCCCACAGUAUCCAGUAACGCUCGCCUAUGGAUCAGGUGACCGUGUGGAAGGAAGGGGACGAUGUGGGAGAACUUCCCAUCCACCUUGUUCUCAGGCUGAACUACGGGAACACUGUGGGAAUGAGGCCUCUAGAAACACCUCCAGGGGCAACUCCAGAAGCUUCUCCAGCAUCUGAGCCUGACAUCCGGCAACAUGCCCUGCCUUUGUACAAACUUACAAACUCCGGAAGCUUCACGCUACAUAAUGCCUCCAUUCCUGCAGGCUUGGGAAGGGCCAACGUCACCUUUCUUGGAGAGCCAACAGCAGAGACUGGGAGCAGAGGCUGUGGCGUCAGGCGCAUGCCUCACUUGUGAACGCGGCAACACGGACAGGUUACUUCUCCCUCUAAAAAUGGCCUGCUGACUGCCUACCUCGGAAGGUUACUGUGAGGAGGUGGUUCCCACACGCCUCCCGCAGCACCUGGGACAUGCUGAGUGUUCACAAAGCAGCGAGCUUAAUUGGCAAACAGCACGGGAGGGGCACGGCUCUUCCAUCACAGCUCAGGUGCAUCGGGUGAAACGUGGAAGCCAGGGGCGAGCCGUGACCAGAAGUUUCAGCGGCAAGAAAGAGCUCCCCAUCUACACACCUAAGACCGACUCUACCACUGCCUGCUUUCACCUCCCUGGGCCUCAGGUUGCUUGGCAGUUUCAGGUACAGUUCUGGAAGCUAAGGAAACAGCACUAUGAAUGGAGGUCAGUCAGCCAUGCAGCUUCACCAUGUUACAUUUCAAUGCCAGACUGAUGAUUCUUUGGAUGCUGAGACUGACUUCCAGAACCUCUUCCUGCGAAAUGACUGAUUGAUGUCACUGUCCUGUAUCCAGGGACUUUCUCAGCAAAUGCAUCCAAGGUGUGAAAUGAAGGCCAGCUGUCUGUCUGUCAUAAGGAGCUUCAUCACAGAGAAGAUUGACUUUUAUCACUAAAGACAAGAAGCCAGCACAAGUCAGCACUGGGAGAAGAAAUCAUCUAAACAGACAUUGUCCUAAAACUAUCAAUUCUCCCAUUCAUUCUCCUAAGGGCCCAUUUAUUCUUCCUAAAAGUCACUUGUUCCCCAGCAAUGUGCCCCCCGCCCCUCCCCAUACCUUUAUAAAGUGGUAUACAAGCCUCAGAUUCUAACCAGUUUCAUGAGUCACAUUUUUCUGU
Long non-coding RNA from Felis catus (domestic cat), 2093 nucleotides. RefSeq lists it as uncharacterized. Lineage: Eukaryota; Metazoa; Chordata; Mammalia; Carnivora; Felidae. The transcript has 5 exons. The record is from RefSeq and is a predicted model, not a curated record.